Molecule: unclassified non-coding RNA, 87 nt
Filed under: Pseudomonas azotoformans
Lineage: Bacteria; Pseudomonadati; Pseudomonadota; Gammaproteobacteria; Pseudomonadales; Pseudomonadaceae
Source: RNAcentral
GUGGGAGGGGGCUUGCCCCCGAUGACGGAGUGUCAGUUGCAGUUAUUUGGCUGAUACACCGCCAAUCGGGGGCAAGCCCCCUCCCAC